RNAcentral lists this transfer RNA (72 nucleotides) under Lotharella oceanica. RNAcentral's name for it is "tRNA-Gln". It matches the Rfam family "tRNA". Rfam says of the family: Transfer RNA (tRNA) molecules are approximately 80 nucleotides in length. Lineage: Eukaryota; Cercozoa; Chlorarachniophyceae. The record is from RNAcentral.
UGGCGCAUCGUUCAGUGGUUAGGACAUCGGGUUUUGAUUCCGGGAACGGGGGUUCGAUCCCCCCUGCGCCAA